UACGGAAGGUGCGAGCGUUAAUCGGAAUUACUGGGCGUAAAGCGUGCGCAGGCGGCUUCCUAAGUCAGAUGUGAAAUCCCCGGGCUUAACCUGGGAACUGCGUUUGAAACUGGGAGGCUAGAGUGCGGCAGAGGGGGGUGGAAUUCCACGUGUAGCAGUGAAAUGCGUAGAUAUGUGGAGGAACACCGAUGGCGAAGGCAGCCCCCUGGGCCAGCACUGACGCUCAUGCACGAAAGCGUGGGGAGCAAACAGG
RNAcentral lists this ribosomal RNA (253 nucleotides) under uncultured bacterium. Its description in RNAcentral is "partial 16S ribosomal RNA". It matches the Rfam family "Bacterial small subunit ribosomal RNA", at positions 524 to 776 of the family's 1533-position model. The record is from RNAcentral.